GUUUCGAAUAACCUCAAUAUUAUUUUGGAAUAACAAAAAAUAUAAAGUUUUGUAUGUACUUACGUGUGAAACGAUAUUUCUUCAGAUUUUUUGUUCACUUUGGUAUUGUUUUUGCACCAUUUAAUUACAAAAGAACGGCAUUUUAUAGGCAAAGUUACUCGUAGUUUUAUGCAUAUGUGUGCGUGAGCGCGUGUGUUUACUUGAAGGAGCUGAGUUUUGUGGCUUCAGUAACAACAAAGGCCGCGCAUUAUCUACUUUUUUUUACUUCAUCUAUGAUUA
RNAcentral lists this unclassified non-coding RNA (279 nucleotides) under Melitaea cinxia (Glanville fritillary). Its description in RNAcentral is "misc RNA ENSMCXG00005002050.1". The record is from RNAcentral. Lineage: Eukaryota; Metazoa; Arthropoda; Insecta; Lepidoptera; Nymphalidae.